Long non-coding RNA from Cercocebus atys (sooty mangabey), 948 nucleotides. RefSeq lists it as uncharacterized. The record is from RefSeq and is a predicted model, not a curated record. NCBI's taxonomy places the organism in Eukaryota, Metazoa, Chordata, Mammalia, Primates, Cercopithecidae. The transcript is spliced from 3 exons.
CACCACACAAAUACACAUGCCACAUAGCUCCUCAGACACCGGAUUAAAGAAGGAAGAGGUUUUUUAUUUGGCCGGGAGCAUGGGCAGACUCGUGUCUUAAGAGCCGAGCUCCCUGAAGAAGAAAUACGUGGCCUUUUUUUUCCGGUGUCUGAGGAGCACUCACACACUCAUACUCACAAGGACAGAUACUAAUCCUGAAACAUUCUCUUCUGAGCCCAUAAGGAAGAAUUCAGAUGGCGGCUGCCUCUUCCUCUUCAGAGUCAUAUCGAGAAGCAAUACACUUUUAGCCUAAAACCCAGGUUUCGGGCUCCAUGGGCAGAGAGGCAAAUACAGUCCGUCACCAAGAUCUCCAACACGACCAGGCCCGGCGCGCCAGGAAGAAGGACGCGCUUCCGGUCUCUAGAAGGGAAAUUUUAAAAAUCUCAAGACUCCCAAACUUCUUAUGCAAAAGGGAAGGUCACUGCAACCCCCUCUUCAAAUGAAUUGCUGUUACUAACUUCCUGCUCCAGCCAGAUCCCCGUGGAAAGGCCACUCAGUGGUGACUCCAGUCUACAGUCUAAGUCCAGCGCCUGAAGCUGAAGUGUGGAUUCCACGCUGACCGUGUCCCCUACACGCUCGUCUUCUGUGUACAGAACACAGACUCCUUCCUCCACCUACCCAGAGACGCCUGUGUAACUGACUCUUCCUUUACUCCCUUUUCCUCUCUGGUCAUUCGCCUUACCUUACGGAACGUGUAAAUUAGGCACUAAGGAACGUCUCACAGGAAUGCAGCCGUCAGCUCUCCUGCCUGCCGGCCCCUCUUCCUACCUGCCCCCGGUCCCGCUUAAGGAAAUGCGUCAACACAAAGCCUCCUGAAAAGCUCUUCAGAAAAACAGCCACAGUUGUGCCGAGUGCCGUGGCUCAUGCCUGUAAUCCCAGCAGUUUGGGAGGCCAAGGUGGGUAGAUCAC